GACAGAGGGUGCAAACGUUGCUCGGAAUCACUGGGCGUAAAGCGCGUGUAGGCUGAUUUCCAAGUCAGAUGUGAAAGCCCUGGGCUCAACCCAGGAACUGCAUUUGAAACUGGGAGUCUUGAGUACUGGAGAGGAAAGCGGAAUUCCUGGUGUAGAGGUGAAAUUCGUAGAUAUCAGGAGGAACACCGGUGGCGAAGGCGGCUUUCUGGACAGUAACUGACGCUGAGACGCGAAAGCGUGGGGAGCAAACAGG
This 253-nucleotide ribosomal RNA is filed under the name uncultured bacterium. RNAcentral describes it as "partial 16S ribosomal RNA". It matches the Rfam family "Bacterial small subunit ribosomal RNA", at positions 524 to 776 of the family's 1533-position model. The record is from RNAcentral.